GUGAACCAAGACGUCUCUCGGGAUCUCCAGAAACUCGUCCUCCAUCACCACCUCCGAGAAGUUUGCAAAGAUGUAGUCCCUCGCCGCCUCCAGGAGCUCCACCAGGUGAUGCGCAUCAGCAAACCUGAAACAGUGGCAGAUAUCUCGACAUCACAGAAGUGCUGGGAAUGCCAUAGCGCACACAGGUUCUGCAGGAGCUUGUUGGCGUAGGACUUGCAGGCAUAGCGGUGUGUGUCGCUCACCAGGGAGGACGUAGGCGGCGGCGCUCCCUGGGCAGGUGGCGGAAGGACCCCCACGCAGGCCGCCAUCCUCACACAGCCUUUCAAUCCUGUAGGAGGGGUGAAGGAGGUGUGCUGGUGAAGUGAAGUCCUGCAGGAGACAGUGAAGGAAGAGGUGGUGGUGGUGAGAUGAAGGCAUACAGUAAUU
Long non-coding RNA from Portunus trituberculatus (swimming crab), 426 nucleotides. RefSeq lists it as uncharacterized. Lineage: Eukaryota; Metazoa; Arthropoda; Malacostraca; Decapoda; Portunidae. The transcript has 3 exons. The record is from RefSeq and is a predicted model, not a curated record.